UCACUUUUAAAAAGCAAAUGCGUUUCCAGGGCUAUUUUCGGCCGGGUGAGGCGUGUCCUGAAGCUGAAUCAGACAGGAAGACGGGGAAGUUUGGGUCUUUAAUUUUUUUUUUUUCCUUCCAAAGGAGAGGUGCGAGGUGGGUGAGCCAAAUGCAGGCUGGCUUCUGAACACUCUCGGCUCAUGUACCGCCACAAGGAUCCUACCCAGGUCCACGCAGAAACCCACCCGAGGGUCGCUGGAGUGCGCAGGACUGGUGACAGUGCUCAUCAGUUCUACAUGAAGCAGCCAUCGAGUGAUGGAGCUUUGAUUAACUGACCACCCAUUUGUCUGUGGAGUAACCCAAGCACAGCUCUACUCCUUGGGGGAGUCAGGGAGGAGGCGAUGACCCCCAUUCCUGGACCAGAAUGUCGAGGUAGCAGGAUUCGAACCAAGGACUCCCCAGCUUGUGGCCGACCGCAGGAUCACCUGGCUGGCUGGCAUCCGCCAGGUUUAUCACGGAUCCUACCCAGUAAAGGAUCUCUCCACCGUCAGGGGUUAAGAAGUGGGAGGAGGUGACCUCUUAUUCUUUCUGCACGCCCUCCCAGCAGAGCAACUCUUCUGAACACUCAAGUCCACAUGCAA
This is a long non-coding RNA of Peromyscus californicus insignis, 621 nucleotides long. RefSeq lists it as uncharacterized. Lineage: Eukaryota; Metazoa; Chordata; Mammalia; Rodentia; Cricetidae. The transcript has 3 exons. The record is from RefSeq and is a predicted model, not a curated record.